GUGGCGAACGGGUGAGUAACACGUGAGCAACCUGCCCUGGACUCUGGGAUAAGCGCUGGAAACGGUGUCUAAUACUGGAUAUGAGACGUGAUCGCAUGGUCGUGUUUGGAAAGAUUUUUUGGUCUGGGAUGGGCUCGCGGCCUAUCAGCUUGUUGGUGAGGUAAUGGCUCACCAAGGCGUCGACGGGUAGCCGGCCUGAGAGGGUGACCGGCCACACUGGGACUGAGACACGGCCCAGACUCCUACGGGAGGCAGCAGUGGGGAAUAUUGCACAAUGGGCGAAAGCCUGAUGCAGCAACGCCGCGUGAGGGAUGACGGCCUUCGGGUUGUAAACCUCUUUUAGCAGGGAAGAAGCGAAAGUGACGGUACCUGCAGAAAAAGCGCCGGCUAACUACGUGCCAGCAGCCGCGGUAAUACGUAGGGCGCAAGCGUUAUCCGGAAUUAUUGGGCGUAAAGAGCUCGUAGGCGGUUUGUCGCGUCUGCUGUGAAAUCCCGAGGCUCAACCUCGGGCCUGCAGUGGGUACGGGCAGACUAGAGUGCGGUAGGGGAGAUUGGAAUUCCUGGUGUAGCGGUGGAAUGCGCAGAUAUCAGGAGGAACACCGAUGGCGAAGGCAGAUCUCUGGGCCGUAACUGACGCUGAGGAGCGAAAGGGUGGGGAGCAAACAGGCUUAGAUACCCUGGUAGUCCACCCCGUAAACGUUGGGAACUAGUUGUGGGG
This 718-nucleotide ribosomal RNA is filed under the name Microbacterium aurantiacum. RNAcentral's name for it is "partial 16S ribosomal RNA". It matches the Rfam family "Bacterial small subunit ribosomal RNA", at positions 95 to 827 of the family's 1533-position model. The record is from RNAcentral. Lineage: Bacteria; Bacillati; Actinomycetota; Actinomycetes; Micrococcales; Microbacteriaceae.